CUAUGCGCCUUGCCCAGCCCGCUCAGGUGUGCCAGCCGCCGCGGUAAUACGUAGGGGGCAAGCGUUAUCCGGAUUUACUGGGUGUAAAGGGAGCGUAGACGGCAGCGCAAGUCUGGAGUGAAAUCCCGGGGCUCAACCCCGGAACUGCUUUGGAAACUGCGCGGCUCGAGUGCAGGAGGGGCAGGCGGAAUUCCUAGUGUAGCGGUGAAAUGCGUAGAUAUUAGGAGGAACACCAGUGGCGAAGGCGGCCUGCUGGACUGUAACUGACGUUGAGGCUCGAAAGCGUGGGGAGCAAACAGG
Molecule: ribosomal RNA, 300 nt
Filed under: uncultured bacterium
Lineage: Bacteria
Description: bacterial SSU rRNA
Rfam family: Bacterial small subunit ribosomal RNA
Source: RNAcentral